RNAcentral lists this ribosomal RNA (406 nucleotides) under uncultured bacterium. Its description in RNAcentral is "partial 16S ribosomal RNA". It matches the Rfam family "Bacterial small subunit ribosomal RNA", at positions 30 to 526 of the family's 1533-position model. The record is from RNAcentral.
AUUGAACGCUGGCGGCAGGCCUAACACAUGCAAGUCGAACGAGCGGCGGACGGGUGAGUAAUGUAUGGGAAUCUGCCUGAUAGAGGGGGAUAACUACUGGAAAAGGUGGCUAAUCCCGCAUACUAUCGGAUGACCCCAUAUGGGCUUUGCUAGUAGGUGGGGUAACGGCUCACCUAGGCGGCGAUCCCUAGCUGGGCUGAGAGGAUGAUCAGCAAAACUGGUACUGGGACACGGCCCGAACUCCUACGGGAGGCAUCGGUGGGAAAUAUGGCACAAUGGGCGCAAGCCUGAUGCAGCGAUGCCGCGUGUAUGAAGAAGGCCUUAGGGUUGUAAAGUACUUUCAGCGGGGAGGCGUUACCCGCAGAAGAAGCACCGGCUAACUCCGUGCCAGCAGCCGCGGUAAUAC